UAGGAAGAGGGGAACUGGGUGCAGACACGAGGGAGAAGGCCGUGUGAAGGCGGAGGCGGGGACCGGGUGACACAUCUCCAAGCCGACGAGGGCCAAGGAUUGCCAGCAAAUACCAGAAGCUGGGAGAGGCCUGGAUUCGCCCUCAGAGCCACCAGAACCAACCCUGCAUGGCCGCCUGGAUUUCUGGCCUCCGGAACUGAGCGAGCUGACCUGGAUUGCUCACCGUCUCUUAGACGGUGUGUCAAGAGGAGACCAACAUGUUGCCUCACAGAGUCCUUAGGAGCCCCGCGCAGAGCCUCAUUUUUAACGCCGGAGAGACUUCUUUAUGGUGAAAUAUCGGCAUACGUAGAAGAAUGUGCAAAGAACCAAAAAAGCAGGGCUCCGUGAAGGAUCCCAAAGUCAGAUCUUGUGAAUCCUCUUACCCUGCCAUACCCCACAUCCUCCAGGAAGCCUUCCAGGGUUGCCCCAACCCUGUGCCUCCUCUGUCCUGUGCUCUCAGUGCCCUGAAUCCGUAUCUUGACUCCUAGUCCCCACUCUGUGUGUGGUAGAACAGGUAUGUAUUCACAGAAAUUCACAGAAAGCCUCAAGCUUUCUGGACGGCACUUUGUUUCCUUUCUUUCAAAGGUAAAUAUGCUCACACUCCCUGGCUGGGCACUCCCGUUCCUGGAAACUGUCCUCCAGAAAUGCUAUCCAGAGUGCUUUAAGAUGAAUGGACCAGAAUGUUCGUUCCAGUGCUGAGUGGAAGCACACAGCACUGCAAGUCGUCUAAACGUCUAUGGUGAGUAAUUCGGGCUUUGGAAGUCACGGCUACUCAGAUUUGCUAUCGUCCUGCAAAAGCAGCCAGGGGCAAUACGUGAGUGAGUGAGCAAGCCAGCCGCUGUGUUCCAAUAAAACUUUAUUCACAAAAGCGGGCGGCGGGCCGGAGCUGGAGCCUGCGGCCCCCAGCGCGGAAACAGAAAAGGGUCCUCACGGUCAGAGGAAGAGGAGGAGGCUGAGGGGCUGCCCACUCACCCCGGACGGGCGGCAAAACCAGGUUCUUGGCCGUCGCACGCGGCCCUUCCCAGGAUCGGAAUGGAUUCCAAAGACUGAUUUCGUGUCAGUUCAUUUUCGCGCGGCCUGACCCCGAAGAGCGGAGGGUCACCGGUAGCUGGAGACCCGGGGAGAGCCGGGGCUGGCCAUCCAGCUGGAGGAGCUUCUCCGACGACAGCCUGCCUGCUUCCUCAGCUCCGGGGCUCCUGCACACGCAGCCCCACGGCCCCCACGCACCCCUGCCUCUGCACCUGCUGUCUUUCUCCGAGAAGCUCGCAAGCGCGGUUGCCAAGGUCAGCUG
Long non-coding RNA from Herpailurus yagouaroundi (jaguarundi), 1330 nucleotides. RefSeq lists it as uncharacterized. The record is from RefSeq and is a predicted model, not a curated record. NCBI's taxonomy places the organism in Eukaryota, Metazoa, Chordata, Mammalia, Carnivora, Felidae. The transcript has 5 exons.